Molecule: ribosomal RNA, 445 nt
Filed under: uncultured bacterium
Lineage: Bacteria
Description: partial 16S ribosomal RNA
Rfam family: Bacterial small subunit ribosomal RNA
Source: RNAcentral
GUGAGGAAUAUUGGUCAAUGGACGAGAGUCUGAACCAACCAAGUCGCGUGAAGGAAGACGGUUCUAUGAAUUGUAAACUUCUUUUGUGCAGGAAUAAAGUGGGUUACGUGUAACCUUUUGUAUGUACUGUACGAAUAAGGAUCGGCUAACUCCGUGCCAGCAGCCGCGGUAAUACGGAGGAUCCGAGCGUUAUCCGGAUUUAUUGGGUUUAAAGGGUGCGUAGGUGGAUUGAUAAGUCAGCGGUGAAAGUUUGCAGCUUAACUGUAAAAUUGCCGUUGAAACUGUCGGUCUUGAGUGCAAAUGAGGUAGGCGGAAUGUGUUGUGUAGCGGUGAAAUGCUUAGAUAUAACACAGAACUCCGAUUGCGAAGGCAGCUUACUGGGAUGCAACUGACACUGAUGCACGAAAGCGUGGGUAUCAAACAGGAUUAGAAACCCUGGUAGUCC